AUUUGACGUUAGCGACAGAAGAAGCACCGGCUAACUCCGUGCCAGCAGCCGCGGUAAUACGGAGGGUGCGAGCGUUAAUCGGAAUUACUGGGCGUAAAGCGCAUGCAGGUGGUUUGUUAAGUCAGAUGUGAAAGCCCGGGGCUCAACCUCGGAAUUGCAUUUGAAACUGGCAGACUAGAGUACUGUAGAGGGGGGUAGAAUUUCAGGUGUAGCGGUGAAAUGCGUAGAGAUCUGAAGGAAUACCGGUGGCGAAGGCGGCCCCCUGGACAGAUACUGACACUCAGAUGCGAAAGCGUGGGGAGCAAACAGGAUUAGAUACCCUGGUAGUCCACGCCGUAAACGAUGUCUACUUGGAGGUUGUGGCCUUGAGCCGUGGCUUUCGGAGCUAACGCGUUAAGUAGACCGCCUGGGGAGUACGGUCGCAAGAUUAAAACUCAAAUGAAUUGACGGGGGCCCGCACAAGCGGUGGAGCAUGUGGUUUAAUUCGAUGCAACGCGAAGAACCUUACCUACUCUUGACAUCCAGAGAACUUUCCAGAGAUGGAUUGGUGCCUUCGGGAACUCUGAGACAGGUGCUGCAUGGCUGUCGUCAGCUCGUGUUGUGAAAUGUUGGGUUAAGUCCCGCAACGAGCGCAACCCUUAUCCUUGUUUGCCAGCGAGUAAUGUCGGGAACUCCAGGGAGACUGCCGGUGAUAAACCGGAGGAAGGUGGGGACGACGUCAAGUCAUCAUGGCCCUUACGAGUAGGGCUACACACGUGCUACAAUGGCGCAUACAGAGGGCGGCCAACUUGCGAAAGUGAGCGAAUCCCAAAAAGUGCGUCGUAGUCCGGAUUGGAGUCUGCAACUCGACUCCAUGAAGUCGGAAUCGCUAGUAAUCGUGGAUCAGAAUGCCACGGUGAAUACGUUCCCGGGCCUUGUACACACCGCCCGUCACACCAUGGGAG
RNAcentral lists this ribosomal RNA (944 nucleotides) under Vibrio parahaemolyticus. RNAcentral's name for it is "bacterial SSU rRNA". It matches the Rfam family "Bacterial small subunit ribosomal RNA", at positions 467 to 1410 of the family's 1533-position model. The record is from RNAcentral. Lineage: Bacteria; Pseudomonadati; Pseudomonadota; Gammaproteobacteria; Vibrionales; Vibrionaceae.